RNAcentral lists this ribosomal RNA (579 nucleotides) under Enterobacter bugandensis. Its description in RNAcentral is "partial 23S ribosomal RNA". It matches the Rfam family "Bacterial large subunit ribosomal RNA", at positions 611 to 1191 of the family's 2925-position model. Lineage: Bacteria; Pseudomonadati; Pseudomonadota; Gammaproteobacteria; Enterobacterales; Enterobacteriaceae. The record is from RNAcentral.
UAUAAUGGGUCAGCGACUUAUAUUCUGUAGCAAGGUUAACCGUAUAGGGGAGCCGCAGGGAAACCGAGUCUUAACUGGGCGUUAAGUUGCAGGGUAUAGACCCGAAACCCGGUGAUCUAGCCAUGGGCAGGUUGAAGGUUGGGUAACACUAACUGGAGGACCGAACCGACUAAUGUUGAAAAAUUAGCGGAUGACCUGUGGCUGGGGGUGAAAGGCCAAUCAAACCGGGAGAUAGCUGGUUCUCCCCGAAAGCUAUUUAGGUAGCGCCUCGUGAACUCAUCUUCGGGGGUAGAGCACUGUUUCGGCUAGGGGGCCAUCCCGGCUUACCAACCCGAUGCAAACUACGAAUACCGAAGAAUGUUAUCACGGGAGACACACGGCGGGUGCUAACGUCCGUCGUGAAGAGGGAAACAACCCAGACCGCCAGCUAAGGUCCCAAAGUCAUGGUUAAGUGGGAAACGAUGUGGGAAGGCACAGACAGCCAGGAUGUUGGCUUAGAAGCAGCCAUCAUUUAAAGAAAGCGUAAUAGCUCACUGGUCGAGUCGGCCUGCGCGGAAGAUGUAACGGGGCUAAACCAUG